UUGAUCCUGGCUCAGAACGAACGUUGGCGGCGUGCUUAACACAUGCAAGUCGUACGAGAACGUCCCGGCUUGCCGGGAUUAGUAAAGUGGCGCACGGGUGAGUAACACGUGAGUAAUCUCCCUUCAGGCUUGGGAUAACAUUGCGAAAGCGGUGCUAAUACCAAAUAAGACCACAGUAUCACAGGAUACAGUGGAAAAAGAUGGCCUCUGUAUAUGCUAUCACCUGAAGAUGAGCUCGCGGACCAUUAGCUUGUUGGUAGGGUAAUGGCCUACCAAGGCAAAGAUGGUUAGCUGGUCUGAGAGGAUGAUCAGUCACACUGGAACUGAGACACGGUCCAGACUCCUACGGGAGGCAGCAGUGGGGAAUAUUGCGCAAUGGGGGAAACCCUGACGCAGUGACGCCGCGUGAGUGAUGAAGGUCUUCGGAUCGUAAAGCUCUGUCAGACGGGAAGAAUAAGGGCAGUAAAAAUAUUAUUGUCCGAUGACGGUACCGUCAGAGGAAGCACCGGCUAACUCCGUGCCAGCAGCCGCGGUAAUACGGAGGGUGCUAACGUUGUUCGGAAUUACUGGGCGUAAAGCGCAUGUAGGCGGAUGUGUAAGGUCAGAUGUGAAAUCCCUUGGGUCAACCAAGGACGUGCAUCUGAAACCACAUGUCUUGAGUACGACAGAGGGAAGUGGAAUUUCCCAGUGUAGAGGUGAAAUUCAUAGAUAUUGGGAAGAACACCGGUGGCGAAGGCGGCUUUCUGGGUCGUAACUGACGCUGAGAUGCGAAA
Molecule: ribosomal RNA, 773 nt
Filed under: uncultured organism
Description: bacterial SSU rRNA
Rfam family: Bacterial small subunit ribosomal RNA
Source: RNAcentral